RNAcentral lists this ribosomal RNA (301 nucleotides) under uncultured bacterium. RNAcentral describes it as "partial 16S ribosomal RNA". It matches the Rfam family "Bacterial small subunit ribosomal RNA", at positions 509 to 807 of the family's 1533-position model. The record is from RNAcentral.
CAGUCGCCGCGGGAAUACAGAGGGUGCAAGCGUUAAUCAGAAUUACUGGGCGUAAAGCGCGCGUAGGUGGUUCGCCAAGUUGGAUGUGAAAUCCCCGGGCUCAACCUGGGAACUGCAUCCAAAACUGGCGAGCUAGAGUAUGGUAGAGGGUGGUGGAAUUUCCUGUGUAGCGGUGAAAUGCGUAGAUAUAGGAAGGAACAUCAGUGGCGAAGGCGACCACCUGGACUGAUACUGACACUGAGGUGCGAAAGCGUGGGGAGCAAACAGGAUUAGAUACCCCCGUAGUCCCUGUCUCUUAUAC